UAGGGAAUCUUCCACAAUGGGCGCAAGCCUGAUGGAGCAACACCGCGUGAGUGAAGAAGGGUUUCGGCUCGUAAAGCUCUGUUGUUAGAGAAGAACGUGCGUGAGAGCAACUGUUCACGCAGUGACGGUAUCUAACCAGAAAGUCACGGCUAACUACGUGCCAU
This 164-nucleotide ribosomal RNA is filed under the name uncultured bacterium. RNAcentral describes it as "partial 16S rRNA". It matches the Rfam family "Bacterial small subunit ribosomal RNA", at positions 355 to 511 of the family's 1533-position model. The record is from RNAcentral.